This 984-nucleotide unclassified non-coding RNA is filed under the name Hevea brasiliensis (rubber tree). The record is from RNAcentral. Lineage: Eukaryota; Viridiplantae; Streptophyta; Magnoliopsida; Malpighiales; Euphorbiaceae.
UAGCACUAUAUGAUUCAUUUCUUCAUUGGUUUAUUUUGAAUGUUUGAGUCAAUAUGCAGCAGAAGAGAGACGAGGGGGAAUUGAGCAUAAAUAUAUGCAUCUCCGCUUAGGCUUAUUCCUUUAUUUUUUUUUUGAGCUAGCUCAUCGAUCAAUAUGGGGGUUGCUUCCCUUGGCAAUCAUGAGUCCAACUGCCAUCAUUACCAUACAGGAGAAAUCCCUCUCUCUCUCGUAGCACAUACCCACCAGCCCACCACAUGGAUAAUAACACACCUAUAUUUAUAGCAACUUUCAUAUCCCACUCUCCUCCCAAUUCUCACUUGUUCUUUUGUCCUAAUUCUUGUUGAACAACGAGUGAAACCCUGAAGAGAAUGUGUAUAAACAGAGUAGACAAGUUCCCAUCUUCUCCUUCCUACUCUGCAAAGGGAAAGCAACGAUCAAAGAAGCCUAAGAUUCAAGUUCUCGGACUCGCCAGGAGAAGUUGCCAAGAAGAGGAAGGCAGAGAUAUGGAGCUGAAGAACUUGAAGCUGUAUUUGGAGAACCAAAGUAUCGUUGAAGAGAACGAGAAGUUGAGGAAGAUAGCUAAUCUUCUGCACCAAGAAAACUUGGCUUUAAUGUCCGAAUUUCAAAAGAAAUUCCCUCAUUUGGAUCGCUUCUCCACUACCCUUUGUCCUUUUAAAUAAUGAAUACUAAUAUUUAUGAAAGAGAGAGAAGAAAAAAAAACAGAAAAGAGAGCCUUUCUUCACUCUUUAAUUUCUUUUCUGAUAUUUUCUUCUUCUCAAGUAUGUUAAUAAGAUGUAAUGGGCUUGUCUAGAAGUAGAAGUUGCUAUUAUUAUUAUCAUGGUAAAUGAUGAUGAAAUAUUGUAUGCCAACUAAACUUCAAUUAAUGAUUCUCUCUCUAUUUUUAUUUUGGAAGUUGAUGUAUCAACUGAAAGCUUUAAUGAUUCUGGUAUUUCCUUAGUAGUGAAGCCUGCGAAUGAAUGAAAA